AAAUUGAAGAGUUUGAUCAUGGCUCAGAUUGAACGCUGGCGGCAGGCCUAACACAUGCAAGUCGAACGGUAACAGGAAGCAGCUUGCUGCUUCGCUGACGAGUGGCGGACGGGUGAGUAAUGUCUGGGAAACUGCCUGAUGGAGGGGGAUAACUACUGGAAACGGUAGCUAAUACCGCAUAAUGUCGCAAGACCAAAGAGGGGGACCUUCGGGCCUCUUGCCAUCGGAUGUGCCCAGAUGGGAUUAGCUUGUUGGUGGGGUAACGGCUCACCAAGGCGACGAUCCCUAGCUGGUCUGAGAGGAUGACCAGCCACACUGGAACUGAGACACGGUCCAGA
Molecule: ribosomal RNA, 338 nt
Filed under: Escherichia coli
Lineage: Bacteria; Pseudomonadati; Pseudomonadota; Gammaproteobacteria; Enterobacterales; Enterobacteriaceae
Description: bacterial SSU rRNA
Rfam family: Bacterial small subunit ribosomal RNA
Source: RNAcentral